CUGAGGAAGAAAGCAGGGGACCCAUUUGGCCUUGCCCUGUUUGAGCGGCCGAUAUCUGAUUAGCUAGUUGGUGGGGUAAAAGCCUACCAAGGCGACGAUCAGUAGCGGGUCUGAGAGGAUGAUCCGCCACACUGGGACUGAGACACGGCCCAGACUCCUACGGGAGGCAGCAGUGGGGAAUUUUGGACAAUGGGCGCAAGCCUGAUCCAGCCAUGCCGCGUGUCUGAAGAAAGGCUUCGGGUUGUAAAGGACUUUUGUCAGGGAAGAAAAGGGCGGGGUUAAUACCCCUGUCUGAUGACG
This 300-nucleotide ribosomal RNA is filed under the name Neisseria mucosa. RNAcentral's name for it is "bacterial SSU rRNA". It matches the Rfam family "Bacterial small subunit ribosomal RNA", at positions 194 to 487 of the family's 1533-position model. The record is from RNAcentral. Lineage: Bacteria; Pseudomonadati; Pseudomonadota; Betaproteobacteria; Neisseriales; Neisseriaceae.